This 452-nucleotide ribosomal RNA is filed under the name uncultured bacterium. Its description in RNAcentral is "bacterial SSU rRNA". It matches the Rfam family "Bacterial small subunit ribosomal RNA", at positions 328 to 793 of the family's 1533-position model. The record is from RNAcentral.
GGGCCAGACUCCUACGGGAGGCAGCAGUGGGGGAUAUUGGACAAUGGGGGAAACCCUGAUCCAGCGACGCCGCGUGAGUGAAGAAGUAUUUCGGUAUGUAAAGCUCUGUCAGCAGGGAAGAAAGAAAUGACGGUACCUGACCAAGAAGCCCCGGCUAACUACGUGCCAGCAGCCGCGGUAAUACGUAGGGGGCAAGCGUUAUCCGGAAUUACUGGGUGUAAAGGGAGCGUAGACGGUGAUGCAAGUCUGGAGUGAAAGGCGGGGGCCCAACCCCCGGACUGCUCUGGAAACUGUGUAACUUGAGUGCAGGAGAGGUAAGCGGAAUUCCUAGUGUAGCGGUGAAAUGCGUAGAUAUUGGGUAGAACACCAGUGGCGAAGGCGACUAUCUGGCUGUACAUUGACGCUGAGGCUCGAAAGCAUGGGGAUCAAACAGGAUUAGAUACCCUCGUACG